This 253-nucleotide ribosomal RNA is filed under the name uncultured bacterium. Its description in RNAcentral is "partial 16S ribosomal RNA". It matches the Rfam family "Bacterial small subunit ribosomal RNA", at positions 524 to 776 of the family's 1533-position model. The record is from RNAcentral.
UACAGAGGUCUCAAGCGUUGUUCGGAUUCAUUGGGCGUAAAGGGUGCGUAGGUGGCGAUGUAAGUCGGGUGUGAAAUUUCGGAGCUUAACUCCGAAACUGCAUUCGAUACUGCGGUGCUUGAGGACUGGAGAGGAGACUGGAAUUCAUGGUGUAGCAGUGAAAUGCGUAGAGAUCAUGAGGAAGACCAGUGGCGAAGGCGGGUCUCUGGACAGUUCCUGACACUGAGGCACGAAGGCCAGGGGAGCAAACGGG